CAGGCUAUUUCUGUUAGUUGAGUUUUCAUUUACGCUGAAUUGUGGUGCCGUGCGAUUCGGCAUAGUCUGA
This 70-nucleotide transfer RNA is filed under the name Proboscitermes tubuliferus. RNAcentral's name for it is "tRNA-Val". Lineage: Eukaryota; Metazoa; Arthropoda; Insecta; Blattodea; Termitidae. The record is from RNAcentral.